Molecule: ribosomal RNA, 600 nt
Filed under: Salmonella enterica subsp. enterica serovar Enteritidis
Lineage: Bacteria; Pseudomonadati; Pseudomonadota; Gammaproteobacteria; Enterobacterales; Enterobacteriaceae
Description: partial 23S ribosomal RNA
Rfam family: Bacterial large subunit ribosomal RNA
Source: RNAcentral
GUACACGGUGGAUGCCCUGGCAGUCAGAGGCGAUGAAGGGCGUACUAAUCUGCGAUAAGCGCCGGUAAGGUGAUAUGAACCGUUAUAACCGGCGAUACCCGAAUGGGGAAACCCAGUGUGAUUCGUCACACUAUCAUUAACUGAAUCCAUAGGUUAAUGAGGCGAACCGGGGGAACUGAAACAUCUAAGUACCCCGAGGAAAAGAAAUCAACCGAGAUUCCCCCAGUAGCGGCGAGCGAACGGGGAGGAGCCCAGAGCCUGAAUCAGCAUGUGUGUUAGUGGAAGCGUCUGGAAAGGCGCGCGAUACAGGGUGACAGCCCCGUACACAAAAGCGCAUGUGCUGUGAGCUCGAUGAGUAGGGCGGGACACGUGGUAUCCUGUCUGAAUAUGGGGGGACCAUCCUCCAAGGCUAAAUACUCCUGACUGACCGAUAGUGAACCAGUACCGUGAGGGAAAGGCGAAAAGAACCCCGGCGAGGGGAGUGAAAAAGAACCUGAAACCGUGUACGUACAAGCAGUGGGAGCACCCUUUGGGUGUGACUGCGUACCUUUUGUAUAAUGGGUCAGCGACUUAUAUUCUGUAGCAAGGUUAACCGAAUAG